Molecule: ribosomal RNA, 618 nt
Filed under: Triticum aestivum (bread wheat)
Lineage: Eukaryota; Viridiplantae; Streptophyta; Magnoliopsida; Poales; Poaceae
Description: partial small subunit ribosomal RNA
Source: RNAcentral
AUGACUCACGAGCCACCCCAAACUCGCCACAAAGUCGAUCGCAUGGAAUCCGCGAGACAGCAGGAAACUGUCUUGUAUCCAUCUAUUCCCGGGGUACUUGAACAUCUUCUUGAAGAUCCAACGGUGAAAAUGUUGUGGCAGAGAGUCUACUCCAAGCCUGUAAAAUUUGAGGGAAAUCAAAUGAUGCAAACUCCCGUGUCGUCCAAUCUACAGAGACCAUGUGCAGGCAUGAUUCUCUGCGAUGUCAAACCUUCGCCAAUCUCCGUCACCAAGGUCAUCUCCGAGCCGCUAUCCCUGAGGAGGGAAUCUGUCCAGAUUUGGUUUUGCGAGCAGCCCAGCGAUCGACUCGGAUUCCCUCCUUGGGAACCUGUCCAGAUUUGGUUUUGCGAGCAGCCCAGCGAUCCUCCCAGGGAAUCUUGCCUGAACAGGGUCUUGGUAGAUUGGAUAGCACAAGAGUUUUCACCAUUGGAUCGCCCUCAAAUUUUACAGCAACAAUUUCACCGUUGGAUCUUCAAGAAGAUGUUCGAGUCGCCUGGAAUAGAUGGAUUACGGGACAGUUUCCUGCUGUCUAGCGGAUUCCGCGUGAAAAACUUUGUGGCGACUUUGGGUGGCUCAUGA